UAAACAUUGAUAACAUUUUACAUUUGUUACCCGCCAGGGGACUACAAGCAUUAGCUUAAAACCCAAAGGACUUGGCGGUGCUUAAGAUCCACCUAGAGGAGCCUGUUCUAGAACCGAUAACCCCCGUUCAACCUCACCCUCUCUUGUUUAACCCGCCUAUAUACCGCCGUCGUCAGCCUACCCUAUGAAGGUCUAAUAGUAAGCUUAAUUGGCAUAGCCUAAAACGUCAGGUCGAGGUGUAGCGUAUGAGGGGGGAAGAAAUGGGCUACAUUCACUAAGGUAGUGAACACGGAUGAUGUGUUGAAAUAAACAUCUAAAGGAGGAUUUAGCAGUAAGCGGAAAACAGAGAGUUCCACUGAAAUUGGCCCUAAAGCGCGCACACACCGCCCGUCACUCUCCCCAAACUCUUCAUUUCUUUAUAAUUAAUGCUAUUAAAACGUAAAGGGGAGGCAAGUCGUAACAUGGUAAGCGUACCGGAAGGUGCGCUUGGAAAAAU
Molecule: ribosomal RNA, 496 nt
Filed under: Parasphaerichthys lineatus
Lineage: Eukaryota; Metazoa; Chordata; Actinopteri; Anabantiformes; Osphronemidae
Description: partial 12S ribosomal RNA
Rfam family: Bacterial small subunit ribosomal RNA
Source: RNAcentral